This 433-nucleotide ribosomal RNA is filed under the name Acanthamoeba sp. RNAcentral's name for it is "SSU rRNA". It matches the Rfam family "Eukaryotic small subunit ribosomal RNA", at positions 774 to 1096 of the family's 1831-position model. Lineage: Eukaryota; Discosea; Longamoebia; Acanthamoebidae. The record is from RNAcentral.
UUCAAAGCAAGGCAGAUCCAAUUUUCUGCCACCGAAUACAUUAGCAUGGGAUAAUGGAAUAGGACCCUGUCCUCCUAUUUUCAGUUGGUUUGCCGCGAGGACCAGGGUAAUGAUUAAUAGGGAUAGUUGGGGGCAUUAAUAUUUAAUUGUCAGAGGUGAAAUUCUUGGAUUUAUGAAAGAUUAACUUCUGCGAAAGCAUCUGCCAAGGAUGUUUUCAUUAAUCAAGAACGAAAGUUAGGGGAUCGAAGACGAUCAGAUACCGUCGUAGUCUUAACCAUAAACGAUGCCGACCAGCGAUUAGGAGACGUUGAAUACAAAACACCACCAUGUGAUUGCGGUCGUCUUUGGUGCCAUCCACAGCAAUGUGUGGUGGCAUCGGGAUGGCUUAGCUCGCAUGGCACCGGUGAAUGACUCCCCUAGCAGCUUGUGAGAA